Molecule: non-coding RNA, 144 nt
Filed under: Rhizobium esperanzae
Lineage: Bacteria; Pseudomonadati; Pseudomonadota; Alphaproteobacteria; Hyphomicrobiales; Rhizobiaceae
Source: RNAcentral
CAACACCCGUCCGGCAAAGGCGCAGCCCGCCAGCCGGAAGCGAGUCUUGCAUGGACGGCGGCAACGUCAUUCGUGAAGCGUAGACAGCGGGUGAUGAAGCGGUGGGGUACGCAAAGCGAUAUCAUCGGCGUGCAUUGACGAUCU